This 3007-nucleotide ribosomal RNA is filed under the name Salmonella enterica. RNAcentral describes it as "23S ribosomal RNA". It matches the Rfam family "Bacterial large subunit ribosomal RNA". The record is from RNAcentral. Lineage: Bacteria; Pseudomonadati; Pseudomonadota; Gammaproteobacteria; Enterobacterales; Enterobacteriaceae.
GGUUAAGCGACUAAGCGUACACGGUGGAUGCCCUGGCAGUCAGAGGCGAUGAAGGGCGUGCUAAUCUGCGAUAAGCGCCGGUAAGGUGAUAUGAACCGUUAUAACCGGCGAUACCCGAAUGGGGAAACCCAGUGUGAUUCGUCACACUAUCAUUAACUGAAUCCAUAGGUUAAUGAGGCGAACCGGGGGAACUGAAACAUCUAAGUACCCCGAGGAAAAGAAAUCAACCGAGAUUCCCCCAGUAGCGGCGAGCGAACGGGGAGGAGCCCAGAGCCUGAAUCAGCAUGUGUGUUAGUGGAAGCGUCUGGAAAGGCGCGCGAUACAGGGUGACAGCCCCGUACACAAAAGCGCAUGUGCUGUGAGCUCGAUGAGUAGGGCGGGACACGUGGUAUCCUGUCUGAAUAUGGGGGGACCAUCCUCCAAGGCUAAAUACUCCUGACUGACCGAUAGUGAACCAGUACCGUGAGGGAAAGGCGAAAAGAACCCCGGUGAGGGGAGUGAAAAAGAACCUGAAACCGUGUACGUACAAGCAGUGGGAGCCCCACCACUAAGCCAGUGGUGAACUCCACAUACGCAUCCUUUGCUGAGGAUACGGUUAACGGAGCGAAAGCGACGUUCAACCGCAAAACAAGCAGAGGGGGCUUAGUGGUGGGGUGACUGCGUACCUUUUGUAUAAUGGGUCAGCGACUUAUAUUCUGUAGCAAGGUUAACCGUAUAGGGGAGCCGGAGGGAAACCGAGUCUUAACCGGGCGUUAAGUUGCAGGGUAUAGACCCGAAACCCGGUGAUCUAGCCAUGGGCAGGUUGAAGGUUGGGUAACACUAACUGGAGGACCGAACCGACUAAUGUUGAAAAAUUAGCGGAUGACCUGUGGCUGGGGGUGAAAGGCCAAUCAAACCGGGAGAUAGCUGGUUCUCCCCGAAAGCUAUUUAGGUAGCGCCUCGUGAAUUCAUCUCCGGGGGUAGAGCACUGUUUCGGCUAGGGGGUCAUCCCGACUUACCAACCCGAUGCAAACUGCGAAUACCGGAGAAUGUUAUCACGGGAGACACACGGCGGGUGCUAACGUCCGUCGUGAAGAGGGAAACAACCCAGACCGCCAGCUAAGGUCCCAAAGUCAUGGUUAAGUGGGAAACGAUGUGGGAAGGCCCAGACAGCCAGGAUGUUGGCUUAGAAGCAGCCAUCAUUUAAAGAAAGCGUAAUAGCUCACUGGUCGAGUCGGCCUGCGCGGAAGAUGUAACGGGGCUAAACCAUGCACCGAAGCUGCGGCAGCGACACUCAGGUGUUGUUGGGUAGGGGAGCGUUCUGUAAGCCUGCGAAGGUGGCCUGUGAGGGUUGCUGGAGGUAUCAGAAGUGCGAAUGCUGACAUAAGUAACGAUAAAGCGGGUGAAAAGCCCGCUCGCCGGAAGACCAAGGGUUCCUGUCCAACGUUAAUCGGGGCAGGGUGAGUCGACCCCUAAGGCGAGGCCGAAAGGCGUAGUCGAUGGGAAACGGGUUAAUAUUCCCGUACUUGGUGUUACUGCGAAGGGGGGACGGAGAAGGCUAUGUUGGCCGGGCGACGGUUGUCCCGGUUUAAGCGUGUAGGUGUGUGUUCCAGGUAAAUCCGGUUCACUUUAACACUGAGGCGUGAUGACGAGGCACUACGGUGCUGAAGCAACAAAUGCCCUGCUUCCAGGAAAAGCCUCUAAGCAUCAGGUAACAUCAAAUCGUACCCCAAACCGACACAGGUGGUCAGGUAGAGAAUACCAAGGCGCUUGAGAGAACUCGGGUGAAGGAACUAGGCAAAAUGGUGCCGUAACUUCGGGAGAAGGCACGCUGACACGUAGGUGAAGUGAUUUACUCAUGGAGCUGAAGUCAGUCGAAGAUACCAGCUGGCUGCAACUGUUUAUUAAAAACACAGCACUGUGCAAACACGAAAGUGGACGUAUACGGUGUGACGCCUGCCCGGUGCCGGAAGGUUAAUUGAUGGGGUCAGCGCAAGCGAAGCUCCUGAUCGAAGCCCCGGUAAACGGCGGCCGUAACUAUAACGGUCCUAAGGUAGCGAAAUUCCUUGUCGGGUAAGUUCCGACCUGCACGAAUGGCGUAAUGAUGGCCAGGCUGUCUCCACCCGAGACUCAGUGAAAUUGAACUCGCUGUGAAGAUGCAGUGUACCCGCGGCAAGACGGAAAGACCCCGUGAACCUUUACUAUAGCUUGACACUGAACAUUGAGCCUUGAUGUGUAGGAUAGGUGGGAGGCUUUGAAGUGUGGACGCCAGUCUGCAUGGAGCCGACCUUGAAAUACCACCCUUUAAUGUUUGAUGUUCUAACGUGGACCCGUGAUCCGGGUUGCGGACAGUGUCUGGUGGGUAGUUUGACUGGGGCGGUCUCCUCCUAAAGAGUAACGGAGGAGCACGAAGGUUGGCUAAUCCUGGUCGGACAUCAGGAGGUUAGUGCAAUGGCAUAAGCCAGCUUGACUGCGAGCGUGACGGCGCGAGCAGGUGCGAAAGCAGGUCAUAGUGAUCCGGUGGUUCUGAAUGGAAGGGCCAUCGCUCAACGGAUAAAAGGUACUCCGGGGAUAACAGGCUGAUACCGCCCAAGAGUUCAUAUCGACGGCGGUGUUUGGCACCUCGAUGUCGGCUCAUCACAUCCUGGGGCUGAAGUAGGUCCCAAGGGUAUGGCUGUUCGCCAUUUAAAGUGGUACGCGAGCUGGGUUUAGAACGUCGUGAGACAGUUCGGUCCCUAUCUGCCGUGGGCGCUGGAGAACUGAGGGGGGCUGCUCCUAGUACGAGAGGACCGGAGUGGACGCAUCACUGGUGUUCGGGUUGUCAUGCCAAUGGCACUGCCCGGUAGCUAAAUGCGGAAGAGAUAAGUGCUGAAAGCAUCUAAGCACGAAACUUGCCCCGAGAUGAGUUCUCCCUGAGACUUAGAGUCUCCUGAAGGAACGUUGAAGACGACGACGUUGAUAGGCCGGGUGUGUAAGCGCAGCGAUGCGUUGAGCUAACCGGUACUAAUGAACCGUGAGGCUUAACCUU